Small nuclear RNA from Microtus ochrogaster (prairie vole), 159 nucleotides. Its record names the gene U1. It matches the Rfam family "U1 spliceosomal RNA". From Rfam's summary of the family: U1 is a small nuclear RNA (snRNA) component of the spliceosome (involved in pre-mRNA splicing). The record is from Ensembl. Lineage: Eukaryota; Metazoa; Chordata; Mammalia; Rodentia; Cricetidae.
GUAUUCACGUGGCAGGGGAGACACCAUGGUCAUGGCUAUGCUCCCAGGGUGAGGCUUAUUCACUGCCCUCUGACUGGGAGAUCCUUGCAUGUCCCCCAGUGUGGAAAACCUGAUGUGUAUUCUGUGGUAGCGGGGGGGGGGGGGGGGACUGCAUCCUGU